This 407-nucleotide ribosomal RNA is filed under the name uncultured bacterium. Its description in RNAcentral is "partial 16S ribosomal RNA". It matches the Rfam family "Bacterial small subunit ribosomal RNA", at positions 30 to 526 of the family's 1533-position model. The record is from RNAcentral.
AUUGAACGCUGGCGGCAGGCCUAACACAUGCAAGUCGAGCGGAGCGGCGGACGGGUGAGUAAUGCCUAGGAAUCUGCCUGGUAGUGGGGGAUAACGUCCGGAAACGGGCGCUAAUACCGCAUACUAUCAGAUGAGCCUAGGUCGGAUUAGCUAGGUGGUGGGGUAAAGGCCUACCAAGGCGACGCUCCGUAACUGGUCUGAGAGGAUGAUCAGUCACACUGGAAAUUGGACACGGUCCAGCCUCAUACUGGAGUCAGCAGGUGGGGAUAUUUGGAAAUGGGAGAAAGCCUGAUCCAGCCAUGCCGCGUGUGGGAAGAAGGUCGUCGGAUUUUAAAGCACUUUAAGUUGGGAGGCGUUACCAACAGAGUAAGCACCGGCUAACUUCGUGCCAGCAGCCGCGGUAAUAC